This 503-nucleotide ribosomal RNA is filed under the name uncultured Glomus. RNAcentral describes it as "SSU rRNA". It matches the Rfam family "Eukaryotic small subunit ribosomal RNA", at positions 569 to 1077 of the family's 1831-position model. Lineage: Eukaryota; Fungi; Glomeromycota; Glomeromycetes; Glomerales; Glomeraceae. The record is from RNAcentral.
AGCAGCCGCGGUAAUUCCAGCUCCAAUAGCGUAUAUUAAAGUUGUUGCAGUUAAAAAGCUCGUAGUUGAAUUUCGGGAUCAAUAUGUCGGUCGUGCCUUCGGUACGUACUGGUAUCAUUGGUCUCUCCUUUCUGACGAACCAUGAUGUCAUUAAUUUGGUGUUAUGGGGAGUUAGGACUGUUACUUUGAAAAAUUAGAGUGUUUAAAGCAGGCUUUAGCUUGAAUACAUUAGCAUGGAAUAAUGAAAUAGGACGUUCGAACCUAUUUUGUUGGUUUCUAGGAUCAACGUAAUGAUUAAUAGGGAUAGUUGGGGGCAUUAGUAUUCAAUUGUCAGAGGUGAAAUUCUUGGAUUUAUUGAAGACUAACUACUGCGAAAGCAUUUGCCAAGGAUGUUUUCAUUAAUCAAGAACGAAAGUUAGGGGAUCGAAGACGAUCAGAUACCGUCGUAGUCUUAACCAUAAACUAUGCCGACUAGGGAUCGGAUGAUGUUAAUUUUUUAAUGA